CUACCAACCACAUUGGCAUGUCAAGUCAGACAGCUUUGAGAGAGGAUCCAGCUUGCUGAGAACAGAGGGGCUGCCGGCCAAGCUGCUUUUUGCCCAGCAGGGUUCACCAUCCUCUCAUGGCUUGGUCACACUGUAUGAUGAGAGCUACGGAAGGAAACGCACUAAUGCCCUGCCAACGCUGCAGCCGUGUCAUCAAAAGAGCUUGGCAUGGCAGCCUCAGAGGCCAAAUACUGCUUUUCCAAACUACUCACAGCAGCUACAAAGGCACUGUUUUGACAAAGUGGAGCCACACGUCCCCGCUCUGAGUGUGUACAGGUCGGCCUUUCAGCGGCAUCCCC
RNAcentral lists this long non-coding RNA (338 nucleotides) under Neogobius melanostomus (round goby). RNAcentral's name for it is "lncRNA (ENSNMLG00000026271.1)". The record is from RNAcentral. Lineage: Eukaryota; Metazoa; Chordata; Actinopteri; Gobiiformes; Gobiidae.